ACACUGACGUCGCGAUGCAUAUCAAUAAGCGGAGGAAAAGAAACUAACAAGGAUUCCCUUAGUAACGGCGAGUGAAGCGGGAAGAGCUCAAAUUUGAGAUCUUCAAGGUUUUACCUUGACGAAUUGUAGUUUAAAGAAGUGUUUUCUGUUGAAGUUUUGGUAAAAGUUCUUUGGAAUAGGACAUCAUAGAGGGUGAGAAUCCCGUAUUUGGUCAUUCCUUCUAGCUUUGUGAUACACUUUCAAAGAGUCGGAUUGUUUGGGAAUGCAGUCCAAAAUGGGUGGUAAAUUUCAUCUAAAGCUAAAUAUUGGCGAGAGACCGGUAGCGAACAAGUACCGUGAGGGAAAGAUGAAAAGAACUUUGAAAAGAGAGUUAAACAGUACGUGAAAUUGUCAAAAGGGAAGCGUUUGACACCAGUGUUGUUUUUCCAAAAAUCAAUUACGAAUGGCUUGAUUUUGUGUUGUAUUGACCUUAUCAGCUUUCUUCACUUUUUUCGAGUCUUUCUUAAUGCACUUUUCGGUUAACAAGUCAACAUCAAUUUCUUUUGUUGUAAAAGAGUAUUCGGAAGGUGGCUUUCUUUUCGGAGAAAAUGUUUAUAGCCCUAUACUUCUACAAUCGGAGAGAUUGAGGUCUGCAGCGUAGAUCCUUCGGGGUUAGAUACAUUUGUGCUAAGUUGUAGCUUUUCAUAGACAACUUGUUGACUAUGUUUAGUCAUGCGGCUUACUCGCUUAUGCUAUUUUACCUACGCUUAGGAUGUUGAGUCGUAGAGCACGCAG
This 774-nucleotide ribosomal RNA is filed under the name uncultured Neocallimastigales. RNAcentral's name for it is "partial large subunit ribosomal RNA". It matches the Rfam family "Eukaryotic large subunit ribosomal RNA", at positions 25 to 634 of the family's 3401-position model. Lineage: Eukaryota; Fungi; Neocallimastigomycota; Neocallimastigomycetes; Neocallimastigales. The record is from RNAcentral.